CCUACGGUGUGCAGCAGUCGAGAAUCAUUCUCAAUGGGGUUAACCCUGAUGGUGCGACGCCGCGUGGGGGAAUGCAGGUCUUCGGAUUGUAAACCCCUGUCAUGUGGGCGCAACUUCAAAUGAUAGUACCCCAACUGGAAGAGCCGGCUAACUCUGUGUCAGCAGCCGCGGUAAAACAGAGGUCUCAAGUGGUGUUCGGAAUAACUGGGCGUAAAGCUUGUGUCGGGUGUUUCGUAAGUCGUGUGUGAAAGGCGCGGGGAUAACCCGCGGACGGCACAGGAUACUGCGGGACUAGAGUAAUGGAGGGGGAACCGGAAUGCGCGGUGUAGCAGUGAAAGGCGUAGAUA
RNAcentral lists this ribosomal RNA (347 nucleotides) under uncultured bacterium. RNAcentral describes it as "partial 16S ribosomal RNA". It matches the Rfam family "Bacterial small subunit ribosomal RNA", at positions 338 to 696 of the family's 1533-position model. The record is from RNAcentral.